Molecule: small RNA, 6022 nt
Filed under: Arabidopsis thaliana (thale cress)
Lineage: Eukaryota; Viridiplantae; Streptophyta; Magnoliopsida; Brassicales; Brassicaceae
Description: ATSL276600
Rfam family: Plant small nucleolar RNA R71 (bases 1879-1985)
Source: RNAcentral
UUUAAAUCUCCUUCCUUGCUAUCCUUUGUUAGAGCACUCUGUAGAUGAUCUGUUUCUCCCAGCUCUUCUAGCAUUUCGUCAGCUAACAUAUCCAUCUCUUCAAUCCAGAAAAUAUUUCUUUCUAUCGUAGGCUUCUUCAUGGUGUUGGUGAUAUCGAAGGUCAUCUUGAGAUCUCUCCCGAGGUUAAGAUCAAUUUUUCCCUUCUUAACAUCAAUGAUAGCUCCAACUGUAACUAAAAAUGGUCUUCCCAAUAUCAAAGGGUCUUUGGGUUCUUCAUCCAUUUCUAAAACCACAAAGUCUGUCGGUACUUCGACCAUGCCUAUCAUGACUGGUAAGUCCUCCAGCAGACCAUGGGGAAUCCUAACAGAUCUGUCAGCUAGGAUCAAGGAUAUAUUGCAGGGCUUGUACUUGUUGAAGCCCAGUUUCUUUGCCACAGAGAGAGGCAUGAGACUCACAGAUGCACCUAGAUCACAGAGGCACUUGUUGAAGGCUAAAGGGCCUAGAGCGCAAGGUAAGGUGAAGGAACCAGGAUCUCCUAGUUUUUUUGGAAUGAUCUUCUGCUGAAUGAUCGCACUGCAUUCGUGACUUAGCACCACCAUUCCUUGGACUUCUUUGAUCCUCUCUGUAAUCAUGUCUUUCACAUAUUUGUUAGAGUCUGGUAUAAGUGCAAGACAGUCGACAAGAGGCAUCGUGACUUCAAGAUUUUUCAAUUGUUUCUCCAGGAGAGCUUUGUACUUCUGUAUCAUGACCUUCUUGAAUCGACCAGGAAAUGGGAGUGGGGGCUUGUAAGGUGGGGGAACGAAGACGUUGUCUUUGGUUUUGGUGGCAGCUGGUUUUUCAACAAGAGGAGAUGCUGCAGGAGCUAGUAGUCGAGUAGGUUGGUCGAGUAUAGGCUCUUCUAUUGCUUUUUCAGCGGAAUUUCCAUUUUGACAGAAAUCCUCCCCAUCUUGAUCCACACUGUCCUCAGUGUUCUGGUUCGGGCUCUCUUUUGUGGGUAAUUCUUUACCGCUUCUAAGUGUGAUAGCAUGAGCGUACUCCUCUGAAUUUGACAUUGAUUUUCUGGAAGGUCCUGUAAAUUUGGGUGCUGCGGUCGACCCAGUUUGGCCUUCUAUGUAUCUAAUCUUAGAUGUCAGUGCUUCAACCUUGAUAUUGAUAUCAUUGUAACUGCAGUCAACCUUGUUGUGAAUUUCUGCCAUCCUUUUGGACAGAUCCAUUGCUCCUGUUGCUUGCCCUUGUAGAAUCUGCUGUAACAUGUUCUUCAGGUCUGAAUCUGGAGUUGUUGAAGCUGGUUGUUGUUGCUGCUGUGUGAACCCAGGUGGUGGAAGUUGCGGCUGAUAGUUGCCCUGAUACUGCUGCUUAGGAACAUACCCUUGACCUUGGUUGUAUGGAACAAAGGGCCUGGGUUGAUUCUGCUGCUGUGAAGGGUAAACUUGGUCCUGCGGGUUUGCAACGUUUGUACUUCUGUAAGACAGAUUGGGAUGGUUCUGCUUGAAGUUGUUGAAACCUUUGUUGUAACCUCCUUGGUUCUGCACAUAACUGACCUCUUCUGACUGCAUAGUCUCCCCAUCCUGAACUUGGAACGUCUCAUCAUCACCCAGAAAAUGAAUGUGCUUCUGUUGCACAAGCAGUAGCUUGUCCAGUUUGUCAUUCAUGGCUUUCAUUUCCCUGCGGUGCUUCUCAUCAGAAUCAGAGCUGGUGCGGACGCUUCUAUCAUAAUCUUCAUUAUAGUUGCCAUCCGACUGAGCUAAGUUCUCUACCAGCUCCCAUCCGUCUUCAACGUCUUUGUUGAGAAAGUUCCCGUUAGAAGCGGUAUCUAGAAGCAUCCUGAUCUUUGGGAGGACACCUCUGUAGAGAGUGCUGAGAAGCGAAGCUUUGGAGAAACCAUGAUGAGGACAUUGCGUCUGAUAACCUUUGAAGCGCUCCCAUGCUUCACAGAAAGUCUCAUUAUUCGUCUGAGUGAAACCGGAGAUAUCAUUCCUUAGUCUCGCAGUCCUGGAGUUUGAGAAAAACUUAGCCAAGAAGGCUUUCUUGCAGUCAUUCCAGGAGGUGAUAGAGCCUUGAAGAAGCGACUUUUCCCACUGAUGGGCUUUGUCUCCAAGAGAGAAAGGAAACAAUCUGAGCUUGAAGCCAUCCUCACUGACUCCAUUGAUCUUUGUUAGGCUGCAGAGCCUAUCAAACUCGUCCAGGUGAUCGAGUGGAUCCUCCAUAGGGAGGCCGUGGAACUUGUUGCUCUGAACCAUGGCAAUGAGACCGCUCUUGAUCUCAAAGUUGUUGUUCUGCACAGGUGGAGGCACGAUGCCAUUACGCUGAUUGUGGUUGCGUGGUGCAUCGCCUGCACCUAUGUUGUUUGGUUGCACCUGCUCAUCAACAACUGCAGCCAUUGUGUCUGUUUCUGUCUGUGUUCUGAGUUGGCGUGCAAUACGGUCGAUGUUAUCGUUGAACAGGAGAUUCUGAUUUCCUCGUGACCGUGUUUGCAUACAACGAGUACCAACUGGUGAAGCUAGUGAUUCGUAGUACCUGAAUCAAAACAGACAAACAGAAAUAACACAAAGUUAGUAACUUUCAGAAAAAAUGAAAAAGAACUUGAUCUUAAAUAUUCUGAAAUCUCGAAUAUAGCAAACAAACACCCAAUUGGCAACGGCGCCAAAUUGAUAAUAAGUUUUUAGUCAAUUAUUCCUAAAACACCAAUCAUGUUGUUGUACUAUUUUAGGUGUCAAUCCAAAUGGGUGUGAUGCAAACAGAUGAGAUGUGAUCAGAAGUCACUAAGUCAAGCCAAGCAAUAACAGUUUUGGGGUUUCUAACAGUCCUAAGCGAACAUGCAGAAAACAGAAGCAAUAACAGAAUUACUAAAAUCACUCGACCACAACAGGCUGAUGCCAGAAGUAGGAUGUGGUCGAGUAACAGGUCAAGUAAUAGACAGGAUAUGAAACAGCUAUACUCGACUGCACAGUCUGUUGCCAGACACUGGGUGUGGUCGAGUAAGUUGGUCGAGUGAUUGUAAAAACUAAGAAACAGGCAAUGAGAACGAUUAAGCGAUAACGAUAAAACAGAGAAAUAAGAUAGACGAGAAAUUCCUAAGGAUGGGGUAAUCGAGUAGAGUGGUGUCCUAGCCUAUUCGAAUGGUUAACAAGCGCAAUCAAGCUAUCCCUAGACAACAGGUUCAACAACAGACCAAUUCACUCCCGUGAUAGAAAUCCUCAAGCAAAGCUAGCCCAGACUAAUUCCCAUUAACGGAAUCUAACUAUGCAGGCAAUACGAACAGACUGAUAAAGUCAAUAAACGCUCUAAACGGCCAAUCCCUUGGGAUAGAGACGCAUAUCUCAGGAACUAGUGGAUCAAGCAUUCCAUCGAACACCUUCUGGGUGCGGGAAUGCUUGGGAUCGAAUUCCAGUUGAUCAGAAAGAAAUAAGCAGUAAACGCAACUAGUCCUAAAGGGAUUCAAUCAAUUCUGAAACUUAACCAUUCUACAGACUACGGAUUCCACAACUACUCUAUCCCAUCCCUAAGAAUUCUAAGUCACUACUCAGACAACAUGCUCAAAGACAUAAACGCAGAUAAACGAUAAUAUUGCAUAAGUAAAGAGAUAAAGAGUAGAGAAACAAGAUGACUAAUGAAAUCAAACGCGGAAUCUCAAUAACUUGGAAAAAUCGCGAACUACAGGUUGUAGAAGCAAAAGCGGCGCAGCAGAGUAAAACUAAAAAUAAAACUGAAGCAAAAACGCAAUGUCGACUAGAUGUCUCAGGACAGAACCCUAAAACAUCUAUUUAUACCAAACGAAAUAAAAUGAUAGUAGACGGGCCAAUAACCUAAUCGCCCGGCCCAUAGAGUGAUAAUGGGCCGAGAUGGGCUUCGUGAUCCGAUGGAGGUCCAGGCCGCUUCCAAACACUUUGUCUUCUCCUCUUCUCUUCCUUGUGCUCAGCUUGUCUGGUUGAGUGCGGAUUUGAGUAGACUGUGAAGAAGUGAUCGAGUGUCCGGUCGAGUGAUGGUGAUGGUGGUGAGUGAUGAUACUCGACCAUGGGGUCGAGUAACGUGGUAGAGUGAAUGGUCGAGUGUAGUCAGGUGGUGUGGCGAAGUGAGACUCGACCAGGGGGUCGAGUAAUGUCAUCGAGUGGCCUGAGCUGAGGUUACUCGACCUGGUGGUCGAGUGGAUGGGAAGAAUGGCUCCAAAGUCACUCGUCCUGGGGGUCGAGUAUGUCUUCUGGUUCUGGCUCGUUUCUUCCAAUUUGCUCGCAAACAGCUCCAAAUCACCUGAAAACAACUCAGAAAUGCAAUAUGCAUGCAAAGCUAUCCUAAUCAUGCAAAGUAUGCAAGAAUGAUGAGAAAUGAUAUAAAACAGUGAUGAAUGAUACGAAACUGGACUCAAAACGAUGAUGAAUGGACACUGAAAACAUGCAAAUUAUAGACAUAUCAGAACCUGCUAUGGAAAAACAGAAAUCUGAAAUGGAUUGUGAUAAAGAAGAGAAUGCUGAGGAUUGUUUUGGAGAGCUUGUGCCUGAGAGGUUUAUUGUUGAAAUGAGGAGGUCUUUCAAGGAGCUGGAAGACCAAAUGUAUCAAAUGCAUGAAGAUAUGAAAGACUUUGUCCGUGACCAGAUACGUGCUGCCCUUGAUCCAAAAGGCAAAAGGCCAGAACAAACCAUACCUUCCCAUGAUUCGCGGGAACCACCUACUUCUAUGGAUAAGGCACCGGUUACUGGGAAGAAGCCAUCGAGAAGGAUGUCUACAAAAGGAAGCACUGAAACGAGAAAGUCUUCAAGGCUGACUCGUGUUUCUCAUGAUGUGGACACUCCUGCACUUUCUGUUGGCUGUAAUUCCAAAGAGGAAGAUUUGGAUGUCCCUGGAGUACAUACCACUGCUGUCGAAGGAAGAAGAAAACCGUCAAAGCCGAAGAAAAAUGUUUCUUUUGCUGUUGACACUACUGAGCUACCUGAUUCCAAUAAGGAAGAUAUGCAAGGAUUCAUUGAUGAACAGGUAAGUCAUGUACGUACAUUGCUAAAUAUUUUAUAAUCCAUAUGUAUAACUAUACUGCCUGCUUCGAUACAGUAUGGCGCUAAUAAUGAAAGUGAUUUUACUGCAAAUGAUAGAUUAGAUUCUUCGGCCGCUGAAGAAGAGAUAUUAGACACUGGAUUUUUAAUAGUUCCUUAUGCUGGAUCCACACAAUCCCAUCUGGUAUGUCGUCUACUAAUACUCUUCACAAUCUGUUUAAAUGGUGUACGUACAUAUUCGCUUAAAAAGUUAGUUAAACUAUGUUUCAGGAUAGAGGAAAUGUUGUUGUUUGUAAGACUGUCUUCUUAGGUUCAAUGUCUGGGACUGUCUAUGUUACACAGGAAGAGAGACCUGUGGAAGAAGCUACUGUUGACACCGAGAUGGAAGAAGUUCCAUCUAAUGAGUCUGCAAGAGUUUCAGAGGUAGAUCUUCUGGUAAUCGUUAUAUACAGAUUUCCAUGACUAUAUGCAUAUAUAUUACAUUAAUUUCUCCACUUAUCUAACGCUUAACUCUAUGGUAGCCUAUCUUUCAGGAUAAUGGACCAAAGGAUGUUGCUGAACCUGGCUUAGUUGGUACCCAUACAGGGGCCGAUGAAAUAGCUGAUGCAGACAUAGAGAUGGUAGACAAUCCAUCAGGUUUACCUUCAACAUCUGCACAGGUAUGUGUUAGUCACUUGUUCUUUUUCCAUAUGUGUACGCCCAUAAGACUUUGAAAAUUAUUUUUGUUUCAGGAAGAAGCAAGAGAUGCCAGUGCAUCGACUGAAGCUAAUGGCAACGAGUCAGAAGAAACUUAUGAGCCUUCUGAUGGAGAUAUAGCUCACAUACCUGGCACAAGUGUACGUACAUUUUUGUCACUAUGUUCUGUGUACAUAUAUAUUGUUUCAUACAUUACUAAAAAGUUUCUUUCCGAUGAUAAAUUCUACAGGUUGAGGCGGCAGGAGAAUCCAAAUUAGUGACAGGGAUGGAAGUUGAAAUACCUGAGAAGACUCACAGUGAUCCCCCGUCACCAUUUCAAGUAGUUAACAAUGUAAGCUAACUCU